Molecule: ribosomal RNA, 253 nt
Filed under: uncultured prokaryote
Description: partial 16S ribosomal RNA
Rfam family: Bacterial small subunit ribosomal RNA
Source: RNAcentral
UACGGAGGGUCCGAGCGUUAAUCGGAAUUACUGGGCGUAAAGCGUGCGCAGGCGGUUUGUUAAGCGAGAUGUGAAAGCCCUGGGCUCAACCUAGGAAUAGCACUUCGAACUGGCGAACUAGAGUCUUGUAGAGGGGGGUAGAAUUCCAGGUGUAGCGGUGAAAUGCGUAGAGAUCUGGAGGAAUACCGGUGGCGAAGGCGGCCCCCUGGACAAAGACUGACGCUCAUGCACGAAAGCGUGGGGAGCAAACAGG